Molecule: ribosomal RNA, 384 nt
Filed under: uncultured bacterium
Lineage: Bacteria
Description: bacterial SSU rRNA
Rfam family: Bacterial small subunit ribosomal RNA
Source: RNAcentral
GACGAGCGCUGGCGGCGUGCUUAACACAUGCAAGUCGAGCGGUAAGGCCCUUUCGGGGGUACACGAGCGGCGAACGGGUGAGUAACACGUGGGUGACCUGCCCUCAGCUCUGGGAUAAGCCUGGGAAACCGGGUCUAAUACUGGAUAUGACUCCAUGACGCAUGUUGUGGGGUGGAAAGCCUUGUGCGGCUGAGGAUGGGCCCGCGGCCUAUCAGCUUGUUGGGGGGUGAUGGCCUACCAAGGCGACGACGGGUAGCCGGCCUGAGAGGGCGACCGGCCACACUGGGACUGAGACACGGCCCAGACUCCUACGGGAGGCAGCAGUGGGGAAUCUUGCGCAAUGGGCGAAAGCCUGACGCAGCGACGCCGCGUGAGGGAUGACGG